CGAUAAACACGGCCCCUAGGAAGCAUCUGCUGCUGCAUCAAGGGAAGCGGUUGCUGAGGUUGCACUGGCCCUGCUCCAAAUCUCCGGCUUCCUGGGCGCUGGGCCGGCUGACCUGGUUGGACCAUUGGAACGAAAAAAUUUGGCCUCAUUCCAGGAACCAGUUGCUGCUGAUACCCAAACCCAGGCUGGGGAGGGAGGAUAGCAGGAGGGCUUUGCCCAUAGAAUAGUUGCUGUCCAAUACCUGGAGUUCCAGGAGGAUAGAUAGGCAUACGAGGACCAACUGCAGGUGCCAUUGCAGAAGAACGCAUUUGUGAAAACUGUGCCUGCAACCUUGCUCUUCGUUCUUCUUUCCGUUGUGCAAGUGCAACAUACAAUGGUUUGCUAACUACCAUUUUACCAUUCAUCUCCGCGAGAGCUCGAGAUGCUUCUUCAGCAGUUGAAAAGGCAACAAAACCUGAUCCUCUACUUACACCACUUGGGUCACGCAUAACCUUGCAUGAAGUAACUGUUCCAAAUUCUGAGAAUAGAUCCUUCAGCUUAUCGUCAGUGAUGCUAUCAUCUAGGUUCUUAACAUAUAGAUUCAAUCC
This 587-nucleotide unclassified non-coding RNA is filed under the name Hevea brasiliensis (rubber tree). Lineage: Eukaryota; Viridiplantae; Streptophyta; Magnoliopsida; Malpighiales; Euphorbiaceae. The record is from RNAcentral.